RNAcentral lists this ribosomal RNA (253 nucleotides) under uncultured bacterium. Its description in RNAcentral is "partial 16S ribosomal RNA". It matches the Rfam family "Bacterial small subunit ribosomal RNA", at positions 524 to 776 of the family's 1533-position model. The record is from RNAcentral.
UACAGAGGUCUCAACCGUUGUUCGGAUUCAUUGGGUGUAAAGGGUGCGUAGGCGGUCGCGCAAGUCGGAUGUGAAAUCUCAGGGCUCAACCCUGAAACUGCAUUCGAUACUGCGUGGCUAGAGUGCUGGAGAGGAGACUGGAAUUUACGGUGUAGCAGUGAAAUGCGUAGAUAUCGUAAGGAAGACCAGUGGCGAAGGCGAGUCUCUGGACAGCAACUGACGCUGAGGCACGAAGGCCAGGGGAGCAAACGGG